AUUGAACGCUGGCGGCAUGCUUUACACAUGCAAGUCGAACGGUAACAGGCCGCAAGGUGCUGGCGAGUGGCGAACGGGUGAGUAAUGCAUCGGAACGUGCCCAGUCGUGGGGGAUAACUAUCCGAAAGGAUAGCUAAUACCGCAUACGAUCUGCGGAUGAAAGCGGGGGACCUUCGGGCCUCGCGCGAUUGGAGCGGCCGAUGUCAGAUUAGGUAGUUGGUGGGGUAAAGGCUCACCAAGCCAACGAUCUGUAGCUGGUCUGAGAGGACGACCAGCCACACGGGGACUGAGACACGGCCCAGACUCCUACGGGAGGCAGCAGUGGGGAAUUUUGGACAAUGGGCGCAAGCCUGAUCCAGCAAUGCCGCGUGCAGGAAGAAGGCCUUCGGGUUGUAAACUGCUUUUGUACGGAACGAAACGGCUCUGGUUAAUACCUGGGGCUAAUGACGGUACCGUAAGAAUAAGCACCGGCUAACUACGUGCCAGCAGCCGCCGUAA
RNAcentral lists this ribosomal RNA (498 nucleotides) under uncultured bacterium. Its description in RNAcentral is "partial 16S ribosomal RNA". It matches the Rfam family "Bacterial small subunit ribosomal RNA", at positions 30 to 523 of the family's 1533-position model. The record is from RNAcentral.